UAUGUGCUCCCAUGUUUAUUGCAGCAUUAUUCAUAACAGCCAAGAUAUGAAAACAACCUAAUGUCCAUCAACAGAUGAAUGGAUAAAAAAAGAUGUGGUAUAUAUACACAACGGAAUAUUAUUCAGCCAUAAGAAAGGAGGAUAUCCUGCCAUUUGCAACAACAUGGAUGGACCUUGAGCAUAUUAUGCUAAGUGAGAUAAGUCAGACAGAGAAAAAGUAUGAUAUCACUUAUAUGUGGAAUCUAAAAAAGUCAAAAAUCAUAAAAAACAGUAAAAUGGUGGUUCCCAGGGAGUGGAGGGUGGGGGGAUAGGAUUGAUGCUGUUUAAGGGUACAAACUUGCAAUAAGUAGUAAAUAAGCCAUAGAGAUCCAACACAUAGUAUAAUGAAUAUAGACAAUAUCGUACUACAAUUAUGUGAUGUGAUAAAUAUCACUACAAUGGCUAUUACAACAUAUGUAUCAAAGUAACAAGUUGUACAUCUUAAAUUUUCAUAAUGUUAUACAUCAAAUAUAUUCAAUAAAAAAAAAAUAGAGAUGAUAGCCAAAAUUCUGAGUGUAGAAAAAAUAAAAUGCAGGAGAAUGUUUCAAAUGAGAGAAGAGUGGCCUGGGAACUAGAGCACACUACACCUAUAGGCAGACAAGGAAGGCAAACUCACUAAGGAGACUUGAAGAAGGAGUGGCCAAAGAGAUGAAUGGAGAAUGGGGUGAGAGUGGGAUACAAGAAGCCAGGAGAGGAGAGAGAGAAGCAGUGAUCCAUAUCUUCAAAUGAUGUGAAGAAAAUUCGAGAUUGCCAGUGGUCAGCUUGAUCUUUAUAGUGACAAGAAUGAUUCAAUCUAAACCAAUUCUGGAGGAAAGUUUCCAGAAAGAAGGGCUUGAUUCUUUAUCUCCACCUUAAUUAAUUUAAUCAGAAUCUCUGGUGAUGAGGCUUAGGAAUAAGUAUUUCUAAAAGCUUCUCAGGUAUCUUUCAUGUGGCCAAUUUUGUGAAGCACAAAAAAAAAAAAACCAACAGAAGUUAGCACAAUUUGGUACAGUAUUCCUAAAUAUGGAGCAAAUUAGAGCUUUCUUUGCCAUCAACGGUUGCCCAGCUAUUCAAGAGUCAUUACAGUUGCCCUUCCACCUGUUCCCUAUUCUUCAUCCACCCAGGAAUUAUCAAGCCCAAGUGGAGCAGCUGCCUUAUUUACAUUAGGCUCAACAUCUGAGAGCGCAAAUUCAGCCCUUGGCAAAGCUACUUAAGCCAUGGCAACAUCAUGAUAAACAACUCACCAAACAAACCCAUAAACAAUGAAAGGACCCUGAAGAAUUAUGUCCCCCUCUAUCUCCUUUUCUUUUCAGGACAUUUCUAAUUUCUAGUGGUGGCUCUUGACGAUAAAUUUGACCAUUCCUCUUGUAACAGUGCAGGGACAUUGGGAUAAUUUAGUAUUGGCAGAGGGAGCUUUUCAUUCCCAGGUAAACCAGGUGCUGAGAAUGUGCUGAGUUUAUAUGAGAAAAUCAUUCAUUCUCUGCACAGACUCAGUGUGGUCUGCAGCCCCCUAAUGAUCCCAUCUUCUGGUACUUGUAUUCCUUUCAUAGUGUCGCUGUAACAAAUCACAACAAACUUAGCAGCUUCAAACACCACCCAAAUCUUAUCUCACAGUUCUGUAGGCAGAAGUCCUACUGGUCUCACCAGCCUAAAGUUAACGUGUUGGUGGCGACAUUCCUUACCAGAGGCUCGGGGAUGAAUCUGCUUCCAAGCUCUUUCAAGUUGUUGGAUGAAUUCAGUUCCUUGUGGCUGUAGGACUGAGGUUCCCAACUCCUCGCUGGCUGUCACCAGGGACCAGUCUUUGCUCCUAGAGCCUGUCUGUGUACCUUCUGAUGCUUUGGAUGAGCUCCUAGAAGCCUUUCUCCAGUUACUGCACAUGGCCUUCAUGUCUCAGAGCCUGCAAUAACACCUCAAAUACCUUUCACCCCGGG
Equus caballus (horse) is the source of this 1949-nucleotide long non-coding RNA. The record is from Ensembl. Lineage: Eukaryota; Metazoa; Chordata; Mammalia; Perissodactyla; Equidae.